UCUGCCUUUUGCUUUAUCUAUAUAGAUUAUCAUAUUAUCCUCAUUUAAUUAAUAAUUUCAAUUCUUAAUGUUUGAAUUAACCAAGGAUAUUUUUUGGUAUUUUAAAUGUUUCAUCAUUCUCUGCCUUUUGCUUUAUAUAUAUAGAUGAAAGAAAAGGUAAAAGAGUGUUUUAAUUCACAAAAAAGUUGUGCUUAAUCAUACCAUUUUUUAUUAUAAUUUUCUCGAAUAUUUCACUCAAAGAACAUGUGCUAUGGCAACACGAUAUUUUGUUAUUUAUUCUUUUCAAUUUGUUUUUAGUUUUUUUUAUUGGCUGCAUUUGAUUGUUUUGCCCUAUUUAUAUGGGAUAUUUUUGUUUUGGUGUUUUUAUUUAUUAACAAAGCGUAUUUUUGGGAUUUUUGAAUAUUUUACCAUUCUCUAUCUUUUGUUUUAUAUAUAUACUAGCCUCUCUGCAAGUGCUUCUGCGUCUGCGGGAGGCUUUUUUUAAAAAAAUUUAAAUUUAUUUUAGAAUUAAAAAAAGAUAAUUGGUAGUUGUGUUCCAUAAAAAUAGGAUCCAUUAUCUGAUUUUUCUUUUAAUUUUAAUUUUUUUUAAUAUGAAAAAGUGUGAAUUUACCAUAUUAUCCUCAUUUAAUUAAUAAUUUCAAUUCUUAAUGUUUGCAUUAACCAAGGGCAUUUUCUUUUUUUUAUAAAUAUUUUAUCAUUCUCUUCAUUUUACUUUAUAUAUACUAGCCCCUUGGCAGAGCAUGUGCCAAUUAGUUUCAUUUUUUAUUUUUUAUUUUAUUUUAAGAAUUAAGAAAAGAUAACAUGGGUAGUUAUGUUCCAUAAAAGUAAGAUCUAUUGUAACAACUCGAUCCUAAAUUAAUAUUUAAUUAUUAAUUUAUUCAAAUAAAAGAUAAUUUUACCCCCGAGAAUAUUUUAAUGGUUUAAAAGUUGACAGGGUUCGGCUCAGAUUUUAAGGUGGAAUUUGGGUCGGGUCCUGUCAUCUAUUAUAUGAUUUUGUUUUUAAUUUUAAUUUUUUUAAUAUAAAAAAAUGAAUUUACCAUAUUAUCCUCAUUUAAUUAAUAAUUUUAAUUUUUAAUGUUUGAAUUAACCAAGGGCAUUUUUUGGUAUUUUGAAUGUUUCACCAUUCUCAGCCUUUUACUUUAUAUAUACAUAUAAUAUAUAUAUAUAAUAAAUAAUGUAUAGAAUAAAAAUGGAUUUUAUGUUAACGAUAUCUAUCUCUUUAACAAGGUAUAGAUAUGAAGUUCCGUU
This 1248-nucleotide long non-coding RNA is filed under the name Prunus persica (peach). RNAcentral's name for it is "long non-coding RNA (PPER_LNC006281)". Lineage: Eukaryota; Viridiplantae; Streptophyta; Magnoliopsida; Rosales; Rosaceae. The record is from RNAcentral.